This is a non-coding RNA of Pimephales promelas (fathead minnow), 581 nucleotides long. The record is from RefSeq and is a predicted model, not a curated record. Lineage: Eukaryota; Metazoa; Chordata; Actinopteri; Cypriniformes; Leuciscidae.
AUUCUUUUAAAUUGUAGUUGUCAAUCAGCACUUUUCCGGCGGUGCACGUUAUGAGUUCAGAGUGAGUGUCUGUUCACCCCUCAGUUAAUCAGCGGUCUUGAUGAUUGCUGUAAACAGUAGCCAGAGGGAAUUGUAUGCGAGGAAUAUUCUCUUGUGGCGUGGGUCUCCUCUCUCAUUCUCCGGACCGUUCUUUGCUCUCGUCUUCAGUACGAUCUUCUUCCCGUUCUGCAGUGAAUUGCGCUCAAAAUAACCUGAGUACAUUUGAGAACCACGUGUUUACGCUGCGAUCGCGCCGUGGGCCAGCAGCAGGAUUUGCAUCGUCUACUUCCUUUACUUCUAAAGCAAUCGCAAAGUUAUAAUCGGUCUGUCCUUUGUAUGAGAGCCGAUGUGUGGGUGUGUGUGCACUACAUUAGCUCGAUUUUGCUGUACAUCUUUUCUUGAAUUCUAAUGUGUGAAUAGUGUUUAGAUUUUGCUUUUAUCUAAAUGUGUGCGUAUCCUUAUCGACCUUGAUUAUUUUAUUUUUAUUUUCUCUGUGGUCAUUGUUGUGUGUUUUUUUUUUUUUUUAUUAAACUCAGUUUAUU